This 673-nucleotide ribosomal RNA is filed under the name Russula sp. Its description in RNAcentral is "eukaryotic LSU rRNA". The stretch from base 241 to 394 matches the Rfam family "5.8S ribosomal RNA". Lineage: Eukaryota; Fungi; Basidiomycota; Agaricomycetes; Russulales; Russulaceae. The record is from RNAcentral.
AGGAAGUAAAAGUCGUAACAAGGUUUCCGUAGGUGAACCUGCGGAAGGAUCAUUAUCGUAUUACAGAGGCACCUCGGGCUGUCGCUGGCCUUUACAGGUUGUGCACGCCCAAAGUGCUUUCUCACAUCCAUCCACCCCUUUGUGCAUUACCGCGUGGGACUCCCUAUUAGGGGGUCUUGCGUCUUUUUACAACAAACACACAUGUAUAGAAUGUCUUUGCGAUUAUACGCAAUCAAAUAUAACUUUCAACAACGGAUCUCUUGGCUCUCGCAUCGAUGAAGAACGCAGCGAAAUGCGAUACGUAAUGUGAAUUGCAGAAUUCAGUGAAUCAUCGAAUCUUUGAACGCACCUUGCACCCCUUGGUAUUCCGAGGGGUACACCCGUUUGAGUGUCGUGAAUACCAUCAACCUUCUUGGUUUCUUGACCAUGAAGGCUUGGAAUUUGGAGGUUCUCCUUUGCUGGCCUUUAUUCAAAGUCAGCUCCUCCUAAAUGAAUUAGUGGGAUCUGCUUUGCUGAUCCUUGACGUGAUAAUUAUGUUUCUACGUCUUGGUUUUUGCAAUGUUACCUGCUUCAAACCGUCUUUAAACCAAAAGACAAUGUUCGAGUUGUAACUCGACUUCACUUGACCUUGACCUCAAAUCGGGUGAGACUACCCGCUGAACUUAAGCAUAUC